GAUGAACGCUGGCGGCGUGCUUAACACAUGCAAGUCGAACGGAAAGGCUCCUGCUUGCAGGGGUACUCGAGUGGCGAACGGGUGAGUAACACGUGGGUGAUCUGCCCUGCACUUCGGGAUAAGCCUGGGAAACUGGGACUAAUACCGGAUAGGACGAUGGUUUGGAUGCCAUUGUGGAAAGUUUAGCGGUGUGGGAUGAGCUCGCGGGCUAUCAGCUUGUUGGUGGGGUAAUGGCCUACCAAGGCGUCGACGGGUAGCCGGCCUGGGAGGGUGUACGGCCACAUUGGGACUGAGAUACGGCCCAGUCUCCUACGGGAGGCAGCAGUGGGGAAUAUUGCACAAUGGGCGCAAGCCUGAUGCAGCGACGCCGCGUGGGGGAUGACGGCCUUCUGGUUGUAAACUCCUUUCGCUAGGGACGAAGCGCAAGUGACGGUACCUGGAGAAGAAGCACCGGCUAACUACGUG
Molecule: ribosomal RNA, 465 nt
Filed under: uncultured bacterium
Lineage: Bacteria
Description: partial 16S ribosomal RNA
Rfam family: Bacterial small subunit ribosomal RNA
Source: RNAcentral